AUUAAGUUAAAUUAUUAAUUUUAAAUUUAUUUAGUAAAUUUUAAAUAAAAAAGUGUUUAAAUUAAUUAUAGGAAUAGAAAAAUUAAUUUUUAUUAUAGUUUAAUAGUAUUGUGAAAGAAUUUUUUUUAUAAGAUAAAAAGAAAGUUAAGUGUUGUACCUUGUGUAUCAGGGUUUAUUAAAUAAAUUUAAAAUUAAUAAUUCUCGAAUUUAAAAGAGCUAAUAUAAUAAUAAUUUUAUUGUUAAAUAAAUAUUUAUAAUAUUAUAUUAGAAAUGAAACGUUAUUCGUUUUUAAAUAUAUCUAGUUAUUUAAGAAAAAAAUUUAAUUUUAUUUAUUUAGAAUUAUAUUAGGUUAAGUGAAAAAUUUAAUAUAUAAAUAAGUAAAUUUUUUAGGGGAUAAGCUUUAAAAAAAAAUAUUAAAAUAAAAAUAAAUUUUAAAAAUUUAUAGGAUUAGAAUUGUCUAUUUUUAAAAUUAUGUUAUAAUUAAUUUUUAUUUAUAAAAAUUUAUAUAUUAUUUUAAGUUGUUUAUUAAAUUUUUUAGUAUAAUUAGUAAAUUGAAGUAAUAAUGAUAAAAUUAGUAAUUAGAGGUGUGUAUAAGUUAAAUUUAAGGUUAUAUAAAGGAAUUCGGCAAAUUUUUUUUCACCUGUUUAUUAAAAACAUGUCCUUUUGAAAUUAAUUUAAGGUCGGAUCUGCCCACUGAGGAGUUAAAUGGCCGCGGUAUUUUGACCGUGCUAAGGUAGCAUAAUCAUUAGUUUUUUAAUUGAAAGCUGGAAUGAAUGAUUUGAUGAAAAAAAGACUGUCUCUGUAUAAUUAAGAGUGAAUUUUAUUUUUAAGUAAAAAAGCUUAAAUGUGUUUAAAAGACGAGAAGACCCUGUAGAGUUUUAUAUAUUUAAUAUUUUAAAGUUUUAGAAUUUUAAAUUUAAAUUAUUUAUUAUAUUUGGUUGGGGCGAUUGUAAAAUUAAAAAAACUUUUACUUAAAAUUAUUAACAUUAAUUUAUGAAUUUAUGAUCCAUAGUUAUUAUGAUUAAAAGAAAAAAUUACCUCAGGGAUAACAGCGUAAUUUUUUUUUAGAGUUCAAAUUAAAAAAAAAGAUUGCGACCUCGAUGUUGGAUUAAAAUUUAUUUUUGGUGUAGAAGCUGAAAUAUUAGGUCUGUUCGACCUUUAAAAUUUUACAUGAUCUGAGUUUAAACCGGCGUGAGCCAGGUUGGUUUCUAUCUUUAAAAAUUUUUUAUAUUUUAGUACGAAAGGACCAAGUAUAAAUUUUUAAAAUUAAAAUAUUGAAUAAAAAUGUUAU
Molecule: ribosomal RNA, 1291 nt
Filed under: Coleoptera sp. ACP-2013
Lineage: Eukaryota; Metazoa; Arthropoda; Insecta; Coleoptera
Description: 16S ribosomal RNA
Rfam family: Archaeal large subunit ribosomal RNA (bases 1045-1203)
Source: RNAcentral